Long non-coding RNA from Cyprinus carpio (common carp), 2524 nucleotides. NCBI's taxonomy places the organism in Eukaryota, Metazoa, Chordata, Actinopteri, Cypriniformes, Cyprinidae. The record is from Ensembl.
GCUGCUGCUGUUAGGAGCGCUGAGGAAGACGAGGAGAUCUCAGAGGAAGAGGUGAGUCUGAAACACACACACCUGAGUCCCACUGACCGCUGGAUCAGAUCUGACCGCGUGUGUGUGUGUGUGUGUGUGUGUGUGUGUGUGUGUUUAGAGGCCGAGGGAUUCAGCCGGACUCCUGCAGAACCUCCAUCUAGAUCUGGACGCUCUGGGAGCAGGACUGCAGUACGAGGUCAGCACCAGCCACAUCCUCAGACACUUCAGCAGGAGCUUUCAGGUCAAAGGUUAUCACAGGAGGGUCAGACUCUAAUCUAACCCUUCAGACACUGCACGGUGUGUGUGUGUGUGUGUGUGUGUGUGUGUGUGUGUGUUUCAGGACAGUGGGGUCAGUGUGACGGUUCCUCCUGAAGAAAGAACAGAACCUGAACUACAGGAUUUGGCCCUGUCCAGGGAUCACAGUCCAGAAGCUCCUUCAGAGGUACCUGUCUGUGUCUCUCUCUCUCUCUCUCUCUCUCUCUCUCUCUCUCUCUCUCUCUGUCUCUCUCUCUCUGCAGUGUCUCUGUGUGUCUUUGUUAAUAAUGCGUCUGUUUGUUUGAGGGAUUUGCAUGUGACCUCACACCCGUCUGUCUGUCCGUCUGUCUCUAACGCCGUCCUUCACUGUAAGGACUCGUUGCGUGGACGCCACCUUCGUUCCACAGCAGCUUCACGACCUCUGACCCCGGAUGCUGCGGCGUCCAGCGGCCGAGAGGAAGUCGAGCAGAGGAGCAAAGAGAAGAAACGGUCAGAUGAGGAAGAGAACGGACAGAUCACAGACGAAGAGACCGAGAACCAGAAACACAGAGAGGAAGAGAGUGAUGACCAGAUUGAGAGUGUUACAGAGGAGGAGAAGAGCACAGAAGAAGAGAAAGAUCAGGCCGAGAGUAAAGGGGAAGGAAACAUGGAAGAACAGAUCGGUCCUGAGGAGAGAACUGAAGGAGAUCAGACAGAGAGCAGAGCUGAUGGAAACAUGGAAGAAGAGCUGACUGAAAGAGAAGAAGGGGAUGAGACACACAGACAGGACAGUAGAACCGAAAACCGAGACGAAGAGGCUGUGAGAAGUGUGUCCUGUGAGGAGGAGGAGGAGGAGAGGGUUUCUGAGCAUCAGGAGAGUAAACAUGAGGAAGAGACUGCAGAGGUGUGUGAGGCGAUCGAACACCUUCAGAUGACUCGUGUUAACGCAGGGAAGUUUGUGCCUCAGUGGAGUCCAGUGUCCAGCGAGGAGUCUGAGGACGGUGGAGCAGCGGCGUCGCUCUCAUCCGCUGGUAAUGUACAGGACAGGAAGGAAGGGAAGGGCGAGGCAGAUGUGGACAGCUGUGAGGACGUCUCUGACUCUGCAGACGGACGACUGCUUGAAAACGUGACGUUAGCUCAGACGCCGCCGUCGCGCUCCGCUGCCUCCACAUCCGCCGAUGACAUCAUCAGCACCUCAUCACAUGACCAGAGACCUCCGACCUCCCGCGGCAGAACCGACACCACUGACCGAGAAGAGAGGGAGGAAGAGGAGAGGAAGAGACGAGAAGAGAGGGAGGAAGAGGAGAGGAAGAGACGAGAAGAGAUGGAGGAGGAGAGGAAGAGACGAGAAGAGAGAGAGGAAGAGGAGAAGAAGAGGCUGGAGGAUGCAGAGAGACAGAUGGAGGAAGAGAGGAGCAGACUGAUGGAGGAGACGCAGAGGAGACUGCAGCUGAUCAGAGAUGCUCUGAUGAAGGACGAGGAGGACGAGGAGCGCCGGAUGAAGGAGGAGAGCGCUGAGCAGCUCAGGGUUCUGAAGGAGCAGAUACUCAAAAAGAGACGGGACGAGGAGGAGCGAGUGAACAAGGAAAUGCACACACAACUACAACAGCUCAGGCUUGAGAAUGAGGUGAAGCUGCAGGAGCUGCGCUCCGAGCUGGAGGCGGAGCAGGAGUGGGUGGAGACUCAGAGGAGGCGGGACCUCGAGCGCUUGAGGGAGGAGUCUGAGGAGGAGCUCCGGGCAGAGAGGAGGCGGCUACAAGAGAAGAAGGAGGAGCAACUGACCUCCAUCAGACUACAGGCUAAACUGAGUGACACACAGAAGGAUUCGAGGAGGACACGACCAGAACAGCCUUUAGUAGAGUACCAGAGAGAGCUCACAAAUGUGCUGCAGGAAGUGCGGGAGGAAGUGGAGAGAGAUCACAGGAGGAAACUAGAACAGCUGAAGGAGGAACAUCAACAGGAGCUACAGAACCUGAGAGAGACACACCUGGAGCAGGAGAGCAGCGAGCGGGAGCGUCUGCUGGAUUCUCUUCAGAAAGAGAGAGACGCUGUGAUCUCUAAACACACAACACAACUACACAAACUACAGCACACACUGGACACACAGCUGCAGGAGAUGCGCAGGACACACUCGCAGAAGGUCAGAACAACACACACACACACACACUGUAAAAAUGGCUUAAUCUUAAUCUUUACUGAUUUGAUCAUAUACACAUCCAGACAGUGUUUACAGACAGACUCCGCCCACACACUCCUCUGA